RNAcentral lists this ribosomal RNA (606 nucleotides) under Lodderomyces parapsilosis. Its description in RNAcentral is "eukaryotic LSU rRNA". It matches the Rfam family "Eukaryotic large subunit ribosomal RNA", at positions 41 to 663 of the family's 3401-position model. Lineage: Eukaryota; Fungi; Ascomycota; Pichiomycetes; Serinales; Debaryomycetaceae. The record is from RNAcentral.
UAUCAAUAAGCGGAGGAAAAGAAACCAACAGGGAUUGCCUUAGUAGCGGCGAGUGAAGCGGCAAAAGCUCAAAUUUGAAAUCUGGCACUUUCAGUGUCCGAGUUGUAAUUUGAAGAAGGUAUCUUUGGGUCUGGCUCUUGUCUAUGUUUCUUGGAACAGAACGUCACAGAGGGUGAGAAUCCCGUGCGAUGAGAUGUCCCAGACCUAUGUAAAGUUCCUUCGAAGAGUCGAGUUGUUUGGGAAUGCAGCUCUAAGUGGGUGGUAAAUUCCAUCUAAAGCUAAAUAUUGGCGAGAGACCGAUAGCGAACAAGUACAGUGAUGGAAAGAUGAAAAGAACUUUGAAAAGAGAGUGAAAAAGUACGUGAAAUUGUUGAAAGGGAAGGGCUUGAGAUCAGACUUGGUAUUUUGUAUGUUACUCUCUCGGGGGUGGCCUCUACAGUUUACCGGGCCAGCAUCAGUUUGAGCGGUAGGAUAAGUGCAAAGAAAUGUGGCACUGCUUCGGUAGUGUGUUAUAGUCUUUGUCGAUACUGCCAGCUUAGACUGAGGACUGCGGCUUCGGCCUAGGAUGUUGGCAUAAUGAUCUUAAGUCGCCCGUCUUGAAACACG